GACGAACGCUGGCGGCGUGCUUAACACAUGCAAGUCGAACGGAAAGGCCCUGCUUUUGUGGGGUGCUCGAGUGGCGAACGGGUGAGUAACACGUGAGUAACCUGCCCUUGACUUUGGGAUAACUUCAGGAAACUGGGGCUAAUACCGGAUAGGAGCUCCUGCUGCAUGGUGGGGGUUGGAAAGUUUCGGCGGUUGGGGAUGGACUCGCGGCUUAUCAGCUUGUUGGUGGGGUAGUGGCUUACCAAGGCUUUGACGGGUAGCCGGCCUGAGAGGGUGACCGGCCACAUUGGGACUGAGAUACGGCCCAGACUCCUACGGGAGGCAGCAGUGGGGAAUAUUGCACAAUGGGCGGAAGCCUGAUGCAGCAACGCCGCGUGCGGGAUGACGGCCUUCGGGUUGUAAACCGCUUUCGCCUGUGACGAAGCGUGAGUGACGGUAAUGGGUAAAGAAGCACCGGCUAACUACGUGCCAGCAGCCGCGGUGAUACGUAGGGUGCGAGCGUUGUCCGGAUUUAUUGGGCGUAAAGGGCUCGUAGGUGGUUGAUCGCGUCGGAAGUGUAAUCUUGGGGCUUAACCCUGAGCGUGCUUUCGAUACGGGUUGACUUGAGGAAGGUAGGGGAGAAUGGAAUUCCUGGUGGAGCGGUGGAAUGCGCAGAUAUCAGAGGAACACCAGUGGCGAAGGCGGUUCUCUGGGCCUUUCCUGACGCUGAGGAGCGAAAGCGUGGGGAGCGAACAGGCUUAGAUACCCUGGUAGUCCACGCUGUAAACGGUGGGUACUAGGUGUGGGGUCCAUUCCACGGGUUCCGUGCCGUAGCUAACGCUUUAAGUACCCCGCCUGGGGAGUACGGCCGCAAGGCUAAAACUCAAAGGAAUUGACGGGGCCCCGCACAAGCGGCGGAGCAUGCGGAUUAAUUCGAUGCAACGCGUAGAACCUUACCUGGGUUUGACAUGGAUCGGGAGUGCUCAGAGAUGGGUGUGCCUCUUUUGGGGUCGGUUCACAGGUGGUGCAUGGCUGUCGUCAGCUCGUGUCGUGAGAUGUUGGGUUAAGUCCCGCAACGAGCGCAACCCUUGUUCACUGUUGCCAGCACGUUAUGGUGGGGACUCAGUGGAGACCGCCGGGGUCAACUCGGAGGAAGGUGGGGAUGACGUCAAGUCAUCAUGCCCCUUAUGUCCAGGGCUUCACGCAUGCUACAAUGGCUGGUACAGAGAGUGGCGAGCCUGUGAGGGUGAGCGAAUCUCGGAAAGCCGGUCUCAGUUCGGAUUGGGGUCUGCAACUCGACCUCAUGAAGUCGGAGUCGCUAGCAAUCGCAGAUCAGCAACGCUGCGGUGAAUACGUUCCCGGG
This 1342-nucleotide ribosomal RNA is filed under the name uncultured bacterium. Its description in RNAcentral is "16S ribosomal RNA". It matches the Rfam family "Bacterial small subunit ribosomal RNA", at positions 28 to 1378 of the family's 1533-position model. The record is from RNAcentral.